UCCACCCCUGAAUCUAGAAUAAAGAAAAACCCGGGAUCUUUUGAAUUAAACAGAGUGACAAUCUGAGGAAUUAUUUUGUGACACGGACAAACAAAGACAUGAAACGAAUGAUAUGGGGAGUAAAGCCCUUGCGCUGAAGUGCAAUGUGAAAAUCUGCACAAUCUGAGGAACUAUAGGUGUGUUAUCUGAUAUACCAUCUGCUAUUUUAUCACAAACAAAAAUGUUGCGUCUAUUAUUGGCCUGAAAUUUGUGAUGUUGGGGAUAUUGAGUCUAUGUCGUUCAUUGAAUCUCUUGGACAAUUCUCUUAUCGUGUUGGUAAGUUUGCUUAGAAGUCUUGGCAUACUGGAAUACGUAUGUAUUUCAUUUGUUUGAAAAGCUUACGCAAACUUCUCUUCUUAAUAGGUCCUGGAAAAUUUUACCUAAUUCAUGUUAGUCUCGUACCAGUGCUAAAUGUUGUUGGCAAACAGGUAAUUAUUCAAAAUCUAUCUUUAUGUUUGUACUAGUUGGUUUUUGUAGUCUGAAGUUCUAUCUAAUAUAAGUAAUGGUAGUGUUACUUUUAACAUAAUACAAAGCCAACACUGCAUAGUGUUAGGGGAUUGCGAGGCCUGGGUUUAACUCCAGAUAUUUUAGCUUGUCGCAACACAUUGCCUUUUGAUGAAAAUGUGAAGGCGAAUCUCUCACAGUUUUGCCAUGUUCCGGUACUUCUAACAGCAAAUACUUUCAUCCUUGUCUUGGAAGGUUUUAAAAGGUAGGCGGAGUCCAUCGAGGCGGGCAAGAAAGACAGAUUAUAAAAGUUUAAAGGAUUACACAGGACUGUUCUGCAUAAGUUCAAAGGGCUUCAUCAUGCUAGUAUCUGAGAUUGAAAAGGACCAAAAGGCUCAUGAAGCUAUAUUGAAAGUGCUGCAUCUUUAUGGGGCCGCAAAGGAGCCCAUGCUAGAUGAAUGGACUAGGAGAGCUCAACUUUGUGCCAUGUUGUAUAAGCAUGUGAGAUUCCAUGGUUUGGAAAGUACACAGGACUUUCAGAUUCCUAUCUAUCUGUACUAAAGGUAAUUGAGUUAUUUGCAUGUUUACAAGCAGAUUGUUCAGUUUUGGGAUGGGUUUUUUGAUUUAGUUUACAAGCAGGCUGUUCAAGGAUUUUGAGACUCAAGAAUUUCUGCAUAUCUUCUGUGAUGUCAUACUUGGAUCUAAGUUUGUUGUAAAUAGUUGGUUGGGUUUACCAAUCCAGAUAGGCAUGGGAAUUUUGGGAACAAGCAAGGAAUUGAUUGAAAUAGUAUGAUAGUUUCUCCAUGAUUCCAUUAAAAUAGUAUGAUAGCUUCUCCUAUCUUGUUCUUGACAUAAUCUUUGUUAUGUAUCUAUUAAUUAUAUUUGUACCCAAUAAUUUAUGUCUGACUUACCUGAAAAUUUCUAGUUAUAGUUAAAGUGAGAUUUGUAGUUUUUCCAAUUAUAGUUAAUAGUCGGAUUUGUAGCUUUUCUAUCUGCAUUUGUAACACUUUUCUGCAUAAUUUGAAAAUGAUGGUUGAAAA
This is a long non-coding RNA of Beta vulgaris subsp. vulgaris (sugar beet), 1523 nucleotides long. RefSeq lists it as uncharacterized. The record is from RefSeq and is a predicted model, not a curated record. The transcript is spliced from 6 exons. NCBI's taxonomy places the organism in Eukaryota, Viridiplantae, Streptophyta, Magnoliopsida, Caryophyllales, Amaranthaceae.